This 468-nucleotide ribosomal RNA is filed under the name uncultured bacterium. Its description in RNAcentral is "partial 16S ribosomal RNA". It matches the Rfam family "Bacterial small subunit ribosomal RNA", at positions 28 to 507 of the family's 1533-position model. The record is from RNAcentral.
GACGAACGCUGGCGGCGUGCUUAACACAUGCAAGUCGAACGGAAAGGCCCUGCUUUUGUGGGGUGCUCGAGUGGCGAACGGGUGAGUCACACGUGAGUAACCUGCCCUUGACUUUGGGAUAACUUCAGGAAACUGGGGCUACUACCGGAUAGGAGCUCCUGCUGCAUGGUGGGGGUUGGAAAGUUUCGGCGGUUGGGGAUGGACUCGCGGCUUAUCAGCUUGUUGGUGGGGUAGUGGCUUACCAAGGCUGUGACGGGUAGCCGGCCUGAGAGGGUGACCGGCCACAUUGGGACUGAGAUACGGCCCAGACUCCUACGGGAGGCAGCAGUGGGGAAUAUUGCACAAUGGGCGGAAGCCUGAUGCAGCAACGCCGCGUGCGGGAUGACGGCCUUCGGGUUGUAAACCGCUUGCGCCUGUGACGAAGCGUGAGUGACGGUAAUGGGUAAAGAAGCACCGGCUAACUACGUG